RNAcentral lists this ribosomal RNA (484 nucleotides) under uncultured bacterium. RNAcentral describes it as "partial 16S ribosomal RNA". It matches the Rfam family "Bacterial small subunit ribosomal RNA", at positions 30 to 507 of the family's 1533-position model. The record is from RNAcentral.
AUUGAACGCUGGCGGCAGGCCUAACACAUGCAAGUCGAGCGGAUGAAGGGAGCUUGCUCCUGGAUUCAGCGGCGGACGGGUGAGUAAUGCCUAGGAAUCUGCCUGGUAGUGGGGGAUAACGUCCGGAAACGGGCGCUAAUACCGCAUACGUCCUGAGGGAGAAAGUGGGGGAUCUUCGGACCUCACGCUAUCAGAUGAGCCUAGGUCGGAUUAGCUAGUUGGUGGGGUAAAGGCCUACCAAGGCGACGAUCCGUAACUGGUCUGAGAGGAUGAUCAGUCACACGGGAAGUGAGCCAGGGUCCAGACUCCUACGGGAGCCAGCAGUGGGGAAUUUUGGACAAGGGGCGAAGGCUUGACCCGCCCAUGCCGGUGGUGGGAAGAGGGUUUUUGUAUUUUAAACCUCUUAAGGUGGGAAGAAGAGAAAAAAAGUUAAUACCUUGCUGUUUUGACGCCACCAAAAAAAUAAGCACCGCCUAACUUCGCC